AGAUUGAACGCUGGCGGCAGGCCUAACACAUGCAAGUCGAGCGGCAGCACGGGUACUUGUACCUGGUGGCGAGCGGCGGACGGGUGAGUAAUGCCUAGGAAUCUGCCUGGUAGUGGGGGAUAACGCUCGGAAACGGACGCUAAUACCGCAUACGUCCUACGGGAGAAAGCAGGGGACCUUCGGGCCUUGCGCUAUCAGAUGAGCCUAGGUCGGAUUAGCUAGUUGGUGAGGUAAUGGCUCACCGAAGGCGACGAUACCGUAACCGGUCUGAGAGGAUGAUCAGUCACACGUAGGAACUGAGACACGGUCCAGACCUACCGUACGGGAGUCAGCGAGGUGGGAAUA
This 345-nucleotide ribosomal RNA is filed under the name uncultured soil bacterium. RNAcentral's name for it is "bacterial SSU rRNA". It matches the Rfam family "Bacterial small subunit ribosomal RNA", at positions 26 to 363 of the family's 1533-position model. The record is from RNAcentral.